RNAcentral lists this long non-coding RNA (605 nucleotides) under Penaeus japonicus. RNAcentral describes it as "uncharacterized LOC122250658, transcript variant X1". Lineage: Eukaryota; Metazoa; Arthropoda; Malacostraca; Decapoda; Penaeidae. The record is from RNAcentral.
AUCUUCUCUCUCUCACCUCGCCCUCCUCUCGCUCUCUCCGUCUCUCCCUCUCUUCCCUCUCUCCCCUCUCCUCUCCAGAAGUGAAGCGCGCCAUUACGGGCCCCGUGUAUCGUCGCUAAAAGACUGAAAAGCCUCCUAAAGGAUACACAGUGGGCGUGCGGGCGUGAGAAGCCUCGGCAUUCGGGCGGCUAAAAGCAGUCCUCACCACGCGAGACGGCCAGUGCUUCGCCGACCACGCGAGGGGAAACACGCACGCCAUCGGCUCCCCUCACUUACGCGGCCAUCGCACAUGCUGUGUUGAUAUUGAUUGAAAUAUUCAAAUUCUUUUACUUAAAAAUAAAGAAAAGAAAUCAAAACAAAAAGUAUUAAAGAUAAGAAUAGAAAAGUGUUAAGGAAGUGAAAUAAGAAAAAGGAAAUAACGAAAAAAGCAAAAGCAAAAAAAAGAAAACGAAAUAGAAAUAUAUAUACAAGUUCCCAAAUUUCUUCGUUUCGGUCAAGUUGGCGAGGUCGUCGGUGUUCUGCUAAGCUGUAAGUUGUACUUUGUGUUGUUGUUAAAUGUUUCUUAUUUUCAAUGAUUUCGGGAGUCAUGUGUUGUUGUUGCUGUU